CAGAGUAAGAUGUGUGAUUAAGGACUUUUGUACCUUGAAAAAUUGACAACUACAGGCAGAAACUUCAUUGACAGAGAAGCAAACAGGGAUGUCCAUGCCAAGAUAUACUUACAUUAACACUCCGCAGCUUUCUACCAUCUUGUGUAAGAAGUGUGUACCCACGGUACUUAUGGCCAACAAUUUCUGUUGACUGAAGAUCAUGCAUCAGAAUAUUGCUAUUAAGUGGAGCAUGACACUGCGAUAGCAAGCCUACUCACAUUUGUAAGGAUGACAUCGACUGC
This is a non-coding RNA of Zootermopsis nevadensis, 281 nucleotides long. NCBI's taxonomy places the organism in Eukaryota, Metazoa, Arthropoda, Insecta, Blattodea, Termopsidae. The record is from RefSeq and is a predicted model, not a curated record.